GGAAUCAGUGAUACUCCUGGAACGCCAGCGUUUACUGUAUUAUUACCGUCAAAAAGAGAUUCUCCAAUAGCUCUAGGAUGCCAGACUCGGAACUCACAGAGGAGGAAACAGGGUUGGAGGCGUUCGCGUGCAGACGCAGGUUGGGGGGCCCUCUCGGUUAUCAGUGACCAUCGAAGGGCUGGGCGCCGGCUGCGAAGUCUCUACUGCCAUCUGCGUCACUUAAUCGGCCCAAGGCCCCAAUGCCCCUUGCACCGAGUGACCCGCCUGGCGUCCUCUGUGCCCCUCCGGGGACCGCCGCUGGCGCCACGGGGAGGUGGGCACUGUCCAGGGUGCUGUGCGCCGGGGCUGGAGGCUGCUGGGGGAGACCCGGGUGCGGACCCCUGCGGGGCUACACCCGGGGCUCGGCGAGCCCCGCCCCGCGUGCAGCGGCAGGCGGCGCCUUCCCCUUGGCCGGGCGCCGGGUCCACUGGGGGGCGCCAUAGGAGGGGGCAUUCCGGCCGCACCCUCUGGCGGGCGGACGCCGGGGUGGGGGUGGGGGGGCCCGGACGUCAGAACGGGACCCGGCGGCGGUGGCCUGGGCGCGGGGGCGCUGUAGGUGCGAGCGGGCGCGGGGAUGCGGGGCGCGGGGCCGACGAGGUGCGGGGAUGCGGGGCGCGGGGCCGUGGGUCUGGGUCGCGGCGCCUGCGUGCUGCGCGCCGUCGCCUCCGGGCUGCCUCUUCCUGCGGCGCCGGGUUUCGGUUUCGCCUCCGGCUCCGGGGUGCGGACCCCGCCCCCGAGCCGCGCCUCCCCCGGAGCGGAAUCCUUGGCUUUCUCCGGUGGCCGCCACGGAGCGGUGUUGUUACCAAAGGGUGUCCCUACGUGUCUCCACAGUCACUUUUAGGAGAAUGGCGUCCCCGUCCCCGUAACCGCGCGGCCCAGAGCGCAGCGUCCUCCCGGGUUUCUAGGACUGCCCGCCGCCAGGGUCCCCGGGCCAGGAUGGGCACCUCGGCCGUGACGGCCUCCAGGGUCGCCAGGCGGCCGCGGGGAGGCCAGAGGAGAAGGGAGAGCAGAGACGGGGAGGCCAGCCGCCCCUGCCCUGCUCCUGCCCUGCCCCUGCCCCGACUCCCCCACCCCUACCCUCUACCCCCGCUGCCCCUGACCCGCCCCCACCUCCCCACCCCCACCCCUACCCCCGCCGCCCCUGCCCCCCAAACCCCGCCGCCAGGCUUUGUUUAG
This 1215-nucleotide long non-coding RNA is filed under the name Felis catus (domestic cat). Its description in RNAcentral is "lncRNA (ENSFCAG00000046848.1)". Lineage: Eukaryota; Metazoa; Chordata; Mammalia; Carnivora; Felidae. The record is from RNAcentral.